This 526-nucleotide small RNA is filed under the name Pongo abelii (Sumatran orangutan). RNAcentral's name for it is "processed transcript". The record is from RNAcentral. Lineage: Eukaryota; Metazoa; Chordata; Mammalia; Primates; Hominidae.
GGAGACUCCAAACAGUGAGCCUAGAGCUGGAGACUAGCGUUAACCGGCGGGGCGGCCGGUUUUAUGAAUGAAGCUAUGGCUACAGAUUCCCCAAGAAGACCCAGUCGUUGUACUGGUGGAGUUGUGGUUCGCCCCCAGGCUGUCACAGAGCAGUCCUACAUGGAAAGUGUUGUGACUUUUCUGCAGGAUGUUGUGCCACAGGCUUACAGUGGAACACCUCUAACAGAAGAAAAGGAGAAAAUAGUCUGGGUCAGAUUUGAAAAUGCAGAUUUAAAUGAUACAUCAAGAAAUCUGGAAUUUCAUGAAAUACAUAGCACUGGGAAUGAACCUCCUUUGUUGAUUAUGAUUGGCUACAGUGAUGGAAUGCAGGUCUGGAGCAUCCCUGCUGGAAUGCAGUGGUGCAAUCUCAGCUCAUUGCAACCUCCACCUCCCAGGUUCAAGCGAUUCUCCUGCCUCAGCCUCCUGAGUAGCUGAGAUUACAGGCUGUGUCACCACACCCAGAUCAGUGGCGAAGCACAAGAGCUCU